GGGCGUGUGGCUCAGUUGGUAGAGCGUUCGCUUAGCAAGUCUUUGACCUGCGAAAGGUCCUGGGUUCGAUUCCCAGCCCGUCCA
This is a non-coding RNA of Cercophora scortea, 84 nucleotides long. The record is from the annotation of a GenBank genome assembly. NCBI's taxonomy places the organism in Eukaryota, Fungi, Ascomycota, Sordariomycetes, Sordariales, Lasiosphaeriaceae.